GCAACACCGAGAGGGAGAAGAAGAGAGAAGAGGACUUCAAAACGAAGGGUUGGGCCAGAGUGGAAGAGAAAGAGGGGCGCAACAGCAAGAAGAAGGAAGCCAGGGCCGGACGGUCUGGUCCUGGGGAUCUCGAUGGCUUGGAGGAAACCCCCAUGUUGGGUCUGCUGUGACGCACAGAUGGCCGUGGACUUCCUUGGCUCUGGGAGUGAAAAGUGACUCACAGUUUUGGUAUCUCCUACGUAAGAGCUUUGGGGGGAUUCCUUGGCUCGCUGACAGGCAAAGCAGAACUGCAGCAGCGGUGAGGUGCAGCGCACGGUGAUUCCUUCCACCUGCCUCGCCGAGGAGGAUGUGCCGUCCUUGGGUUUGGCUUGAACAGCUUGCUGCUCUCCGAUGGCACGCAGAGGGAGAAUAAUUAAAAAGGCCAGCAUCACUUACUAAAACUCUCCCUCUCAAGUGGGUAAGAAAAAUUAAAAAAAAAAAAAGAUAGAAAUCCCCAGAAGAGAGAAAUCCACCUGCAGUUUGGAAGAAAGUUAUUCCAUGGUGCCUGAAGUGACUUCAACAGAAAAAGACACUCCGGCAGAUGGCAAAGGGCAGCAAGAAGGCCCCUCUUCUCCCACGACGACAUCUCACAACCGUACCGGGCUUUCCAAUUUCCAAGACCCGUACAUUCGCUACCUUGAGAUGGGUCAUGGUCACGAUGGUGGAGGCUCUUGAGGUCAGGGGCAGCUUCUCUGUGUAUCUUCCAGCAGCAGGAGAUUCUGGGAUCUCACUUCGUACCCGGUAAAUUGAACACUGAGAAAAAUCUGCUCGUCAUCGCACAAGGAACAGGUGUGCUUGUACCCAACUGAACUGAUGACCUAUGAAUGCUGAGAGAAGAUGUAACUUGAUCAGAAUAUCUGCCUUGUGAAAGAUCUGUCACUGUGUUUAAUCUGCCAAGGUAAUAGGUUUAAGUCAAACACCCCUGACAUAGCCAACCCACUAAAUUAUUAUAUUUGCAUUUUAUAUUGAACAUGCCUGUGAUAUUCUUUUGGGUAGAUGGAGCUGACAUAUUUGUAUGAUAAUAA
Molecule: long non-coding RNA, 1064 nt
Filed under: Ictidomys tridecemlineatus (thirteen-lined ground squirrel)
Lineage: Eukaryota; Metazoa; Chordata; Mammalia; Rodentia; Sciuridae
Description: lncRNA (ENSSTOG00000030653.1)
Source: RNAcentral